Long non-coding RNA from Carya illinoinensis, 225 nucleotides. RefSeq lists it as uncharacterized. The transcript is spliced from 3 exons. The record is from RefSeq and is a predicted model, not a curated record. NCBI's taxonomy places the organism in Eukaryota, Viridiplantae, Streptophyta, Magnoliopsida, Fagales, Juglandaceae.
ACAUUAUUGGUCCUGCUCAAGCGAAUUCCUCCAAAGGGGAAAAAACUUCUGGUUAUAGGGACAACGAGUGAAGUGGGCUUCUUAGAUUCAGUUGUUAUUUGUGAUGCUUUCUCUGUCACUUACCAUGUUCCUAUAUUGAAGACAGAUGAUGCGAAGAAGGUGCUAGAACAGCUGGAUGUUUUUGCUGGUGAAGACAUUGAUGCAGCAGCAGAGGCGCUGAAUGAU